AGAGUUUGAUCCUGGCUCAGAUUGAACGCUGGCGGCAUGCCUUACACAUGCAAGUCGAACGGCAGCACGGGAGCUUGCUCCUGGUGGCGAGUGGCGAACGGGUGAGUAAUAUAUCGGAACGUACCCUAGAGUUGGGGAUAACGUAGCGAAAGUUACGCUAAUACCGCAUACGAUCUACGGAUGAAAGUGGGGGAUCGCAAGACCUCAUGCUCAUGGAGCGGCCGAUAUCUGAUUAGCUAGUUGGUGGGGUAAAAGCUCACCAAGGCGACGAUCAGUAGCUGGUCUGAGAGGACGACCAGCCACACUGGAACUGAGACACGGUCCAGACUCCUACGGGAGGCAGCAGUGGGGAAUUUUGGACAAUGGGCGCAAGCCUGAUCCAGCAAUGCCGCGUGAGUGAAGAAGGCCUUCGGGUUGUAAAGCUCUUUUGUCAGGGAAGAAACGGUUCGGGCUAAUAUCCUGUGCUAAUGACGGUACCUGAAGAAUAAGCACCGGCUAACUACGUGCCAGCAGCCGCGGUAAUACGUAGGGUGCAAGCGUUAAUCGGAAUUACUGGGCGUAAAGCGUGCGCAGGCGGUUGUGCAAGACAGAUGUGAAAUCCCCGGGCUCAACCUGGGAAUUGCAUUUGUGACUGCACGGCUAGAGUGUGUCAGAGGGGGGUAGAAUUCCACGUGUAGCAGUGAAAUGCGUAGAGAUGUGGAGGAAUACCGAUGGCGAAGGCAGCCCCCUGGGAUAACACUGACGCUCAUGCACGAAAGCGUGGGGAGCAAACAGGAUUAGAUACCCUGGUAGUCCACGCCCUAAACGAUGUCUACUAGUUGUCGGGUCUUAAUUGACUUGGUAACGCAGCUAACGCGUGAAGUAGACCGCCUGGGGAGUACGGUCGCAAGAUUAAAACUCAAAGGAAUUGACGGGGACCCGCACAAGCGGUGGAUGAUGUGGAUUAAUUCGAUGCAACGCGAAAAACCUUACCUACCCUUGACAUGUCUGGAAUCCUUGAGAGAUCAGGGAGUGCUCGAAAGAGAAUCAGAACACAGGUGCUGCAUGGCUGUCGUCAGCUCGUGUCGUGAGAUGUUGGGUUAAGUCCCGCAACGAGCGCAACCCUUGUCAUUAGUUGCUACGAAAGGGCACUCUAAUGAGACUGCCGGUGACAAACCGGAGGAAGGUGGGGAUGACGUCAAGUCCUCAUGGCCCUUAUGGGUAGGGCUUCACACGUCAUACAAUGGUACAUACAGAGGGCCGCCAACCCGCGAGGGGGAGCUAAUCCCAGAAAGUGUAUCGUAGUCCGGAUUGUAGUCUGCAACUCGACUACAUGAAGUUGGAAUCGCUAGUAAUCGCGGAUCAGCAUGUCGCGGUGAAUACGUUCCCGGGUCUUGUACACACCGCCCGUCACACCAUGGGAGCGGGUUUCACCAGAAGUGGGUAGCCUAACCGCAAGGAGGGCGCUCACCACGGUGGGAUUCGUGACUGGGGUGAAGUCGUAACAAGGUA
RNAcentral lists this ribosomal RNA (1491 nucleotides) under metagenome. Its description in RNAcentral is "bacterial SSU rRNA". It matches the Rfam family "Bacterial small subunit ribosomal RNA". The record is from RNAcentral.